This is a non-coding RNA of Lepisosteus oculatus (spotted gar), 307 nucleotides long. Lineage: Eukaryota; Metazoa; Chordata; Actinopteri; Semionotiformes; Lepisosteidae. The record is from RefSeq and is a predicted model, not a curated record.
GGGGAGAAAUUUGUCCCGGACACCUGGAUAAUUCUCUACUCUUAUCGAGAAAUGCCCGGGGAUCUUUAAUGACCACUGAGAGCCAGGACCUCGGUUUAACGUCUCACCCGAAAGACGGCACCUUGGCUGCUGCUGAUGGAUCACGUAACAAGGACAUGGAAGUCAGAAUUCCAGAGAGGAAAUGUUUGUGCAUGUCUUGUUCGUCAGUUCUUCAUCAUCACUUACCCUUUCAUGCUCUUUAACUUGCAUAUUUUUCCAUCCUUUACAUUUCCUAAAUAACAAAUACUUCCACAUUUUCAAACCUAAA